Molecule: ribosomal RNA, 253 nt
Filed under: uncultured Pelagibacterales bacterium
Lineage: Bacteria; Pseudomonadati; Pseudomonadota; Alphaproteobacteria; Candidatus Pelagibacterales
Description: partial 16S ribosomal RNA
Rfam family: Bacterial small subunit ribosomal RNA
Source: RNAcentral
UACGAAGGGACCUAGCGUAGUUCGGAAUUACUGGGCUUAAAGAGUUCGUAGGUGGUUGAAAUAGUUGGUGGUGAAAUCCCAGAGCUUAACUCUGGAACUGCCAUCAAAACUUUUCAGCUAGAGUAUGAUAGAGGAAAGCAGAAUUUCUAGUGUAGAGGUGAAAUUCGUAGAUAUUAGAAAGAAUACCAAUUGCGAAGGCAGCUUUCUGGAUCAUUACUGACACUGAGGAACGAAAGCAUGGGUAGCGAAGAGG